GGCUUGCAGUGGGUACGGGCAGACUAGAGUGCGGUAGGGGAGAUUGGAAUUCCUGGUGUAGCGGUGGAAUGCGCAGAUAUCAGGAGGAACACCGAUGGCGAAGGCAGAUCUCUGGGCCGUAACUGACGCUGAGGAGCGAAAGCGUGGGGAGCGAACAGGAUUAGAUACCCUGGUAGUCCACGCCGUAAACGUUGGGCGCUAGAUGUAGGGACCUUUCCACGGUUUCUGUGUCGUAGCUAACGCAUUAAGCGCCCCGCCUGGGGAGUACGGCCGCAAGGCUAAAACUCAAAGGAAUUGACGGGGGCCCGCACAAGCGGCGGAGCAUGCGGAUUAAUUCGAUGCAACGCGAAGAACCUUACCAAGGCUUGACAUACACCGGAAACGGCCAGAGAUGGUCGCCCCCUUGUGGUCGGUGUACAGGUGGUGCAUGGUUGUCGUCAGCUCGUGUCGUGAGAUGUUGGGUUAAGUCCCGCAACGAGCGCAACCCUCGUUCUAUGUUGCCAGCGCGUUAUGGCGGGGACUCAUAGGAGACUGCCGGGGUCAACUCGGAGGAAGGUGGGGAUGACGUCAAAUCAUCAUGCCCCUUAUGUCUUGGGCUUCACGCAUGCUACAAUGGCCGGUACAAAGGGCUGCGAUACCGUAAGGUGGAGCGAAUCCCAAAAAGCCGGUCUCAGUUCGGAUUGAGGUCUGCAACUCGACCUCAUGAAGUCGGAGUCGCUAGUAAUCGCAGAUCAGCAACGCUGCGGUGAAUACGUUCCCGGGCCUUGUACACACCGCCCGUCAAGUCAUGAAAGUCGGUAACACCCGAAGCCGGUGGCCUAACCCUUGUGGAAGGAGCCGUCGAAGGUGGGAUCGGUGAUUAGGACUAAGUCGUAACAAGGUAGCCGUACCGGAAGGUGCGGCUGGAUCACCUCCUUUCUAAGGAGCAUCUGGCUCGUCGUGUCCUUCGGGGGACGGUGGGUCCAGGCGCCGGAUCGAGACGAACGUUCUCGCCGGUAGCUCAUGGGUGGAACAUUGACAGUGCAGUCGGGAGCGCAGCUUC
RNAcentral lists this ribosomal RNA (1042 nucleotides) under Curtobacterium sp. YR515. RNAcentral's name for it is "bacterial SSU rRNA". The stretch from base 1 to 918 matches the Rfam family "Bacterial small subunit ribosomal RNA", at positions 618 to 1533 of the family's 1533-position model. Lineage: Bacteria; Bacillati; Actinomycetota; Actinomycetes; Micrococcales; Microbacteriaceae. The record is from RNAcentral.